Molecule: ribosomal RNA, 760 nt
Filed under: Aphelenchoides sp. SHH12
Lineage: Eukaryota; Metazoa; Nematoda; Chromadorea; Rhabditida; Aphelenchoididae
Description: partial large subunit ribosomal RNA
Rfam family: Eukaryotic large subunit ribosomal RNA
Source: RNAcentral
ACAAGUACCGUGAGGGAAAGUUGAAAAGCACUUUGAAAAGAGAGUGCAAGAGAACGUGAAACCGUUAUAGUGGAAGCGGAUGGAGCCGACGUAUCCAGUGCGUAUUCAGUCUUUGGCGUGUGUAAUUUUGGUUGUGUAGUUCUGCAAAGUCUCCACAAUUAAAUUGUUGCGCAUGUUGAUGGUGCAUUUGCGUACAGAGUGCGCCGAAUCGGUUGAUGGCGUCGUUUGAAGGCGUUGAAGAGGACUAGCUUGCUAGAACCCUGCUGCGUUGGAUGGCGAAUGCUGUUAAUUGUCAAAAGAGUCUAUCGUUGUUGCUAGCAGUGAUUUGAGUUGUUUGUGUUUAGUGCUUGCAUUACGCACUUAUGAUUUAGGUCGUUGUUGGCGAUUGCCCGACUCGAAUUCGGUGUCUAGUCGGUCACCCAUUGGACCCGUCUUGAAACACGGACCAAGGAGUUUAAAGUGUACGCAAGUCAUUGAACGUUAAAUUCAAAGGCGUAAUGAAAGUGGGACAUUUCAUGUCUGCAAUGUGACGAGUUGAGUUUUCGAACUCCGCUCAGCAACAUUGACCCAUGGCGAGAAUUCAUUCUGUUGUGGAGUUUGAGCGUACGCUUUGAGACCCGAAAGAUGGUGAACUAUGCCCGAACAGGAGGAAGUCAGACGAAAGUCUGAUGGAUGUCCGUAGCGGUUCUGACGUGCAAAUCGAUCGUCUGAUUUGGGUAUAGGGGCGCAAGACUAAUCGAACCAUCUAGUAGCUGGUUCC